UCUGUCUGUUUAUCUGUCUGUCUAUCUGUCUGUCUGUUUAUCUGUCUGUCUAUCUGUCUGUCUGUUUAUCUGUCUGUUAUCUGUCUGUUAUCUAUCUGUCUUUAUCUGUCUGUUUAUCUGUCUGUCUAUCUGUCUGUUUAUCUGUCUGUUUAUCUGUCUGUCUAUCUGUCUGUCUGUUUAUCUAUCUGUUUAUCUGUCUGUUUAUCUGUCUGUCUGUCUAUCUGUCUGUCUAUCUGUCUGUCUGUUUAUCUGUCUGUUUAUCUAUCUAUCUGUCUGUUUAUCUGUCUGUCUGUCUGUCUGUUUAUCUGUCUGUCUAUCUGUCUGUCUGUUUAUCUAUCUGUUUAUCUGUCUGUUUAUCUGUCUGUCUAUCUGUCUGUUUAUCUGUCUGUCUGUCUGUUUAUCUGUCUGUCUGUUAUCUGUCUAUCUAUCUCUUUAUCUGUCUGUCUAUCUGUUUAUCUAUCUAUCUAUCUCUUUAUCUGUCUGUCUAUUUGUCUGUUUAUCUGUCUGUCUACCUGUCUGUUUAUCUGUCUGUUUAUCUGUCUAUAUGUCUGUUUAUCUGUCUGUCUAUCUGUCUGUCUACCUGUCUGUUUAUCUGUCUGUUUAUCUGUCCGUCUCAAAGCAUUGAUAUUUCCAUAAGCACUGAGUAGUAUGUGUUAGUGAGGUUUAAGAGGUGUGGACUGAUUGAAGUUACAGCAUUGCUAUGCCAGUUAUACUUAUAUACUGUUGGAUACUAGAAUGUCCUUUAGAUAGAUAUGUGUCAUAUAGAUACUCUUCUGCAUUCAAGGGUUGGGCUCAAUUCGAAUUGCCAAUUCAGGAAGAGAUUUGAAUUUAAAAUCAGCUACUUAAAAAACAUAAAUAGCUUCUCCUUUUCAAUUCAUUAAGAAGUCAUUAAAAAUACAGGCCCCUAUUUCAAUCAUCGAAUUGGAAUUUCAGUUUACUUCCUGAAUUGACUGCCAUAUUGAGCCCAACCCCACUGCAUUCACUCAAAGCAUUCAUUAUACAAUAAAUGCAGUCUAAAGGUAUGAGACUAAAUCUAUCAGGUUAUGAUGAAGAUAUGAAGGAUAUGAUGUCAAGACAAUGCAUACAACACACACUAAGAUGAAGCCACUGGAUUCCAAUAAUUGACAAAAACACUGGAGCUGUCCGUGUGUAUAAUGACUAUAGAGGAGUGACUGGUGAGUUGGGGAUAAAAGGCCAGAUCACUUAUCAAUUUGAUUCAUGAUCAACCUUAUCUAUAGUAACGUUUGACUAUCUGUUUUCUCUUGGUUAUCUAUCUAUCGGUUAAAUUAAUCUAUAUUCAUAUACCUAUAUAUUAUGUAUGUAUAUUUAUACAGUCAAAUAGUUAUCCUUUUUAAACUGACUAUUAAUUGUAGUGGGAACAUGUCAAACACACAGAGACCAAGCGAAAGAGGUGAGAGAUCAAUAGGGGUGAAAGGUCAAAUAGAACACAGAAAACAGCUACAUUUCACUAUGGUACUACGUUACGUAACAGGGGCUACGCUCCAAUACUCUACCAUGGCUCCCUUCACCGGUUAGCCUGGCGGCAAGGUCUGGGUCUCGAGCAGAAACCGACCUGGCUACCAUGCUAUAAAUCUUCCCAUAGUGACUGCUGAUCUGAAAGUGUUUGGAUAAGCUGAAUGCAUUGGUUGCAUGUUUCGUCACAAUAUUGUUUUUAACGUUCGUUUGGACUGAUGCCCGACUGAGCAUUCUACUCAAUGCAUCAUCAUCAUUAAGCGCUGAUGAAGAUUUCAUCGAAAGUGCAUUACAGUGGCCUGGAAAUACAAUGACAUUCAAAAACAGGCAAAUAAUUAUUAGGAAAAUCUUGUGUCAUCAUUUUGAUGUCACCAGAUAGACUUUAGAUGCAGUACAACAUUAGCUAACUAGCUUAAAUUGAGGGGAGGCCACCUGAUUGUAACUAGCUUACGUUUGCUUUGCUAGCUAUUUUUGCAGAAUUUUGCAAUUAAUUUAUACUAAACAGUAGUUCGACUCAGAACGACGGGGCUUAUCACCACUUUAGGGCACUGCCGGUGACGGCUUGGUAUGACGUGACGGGGCUUAUCACCACUUUAGGGCACCGCCGGUGACGGCUUGGUAUGACGUGACGGGGCUUAUCACCACUUUAGGGCACCGCCGGUGACGGCUUGGUAUGACGUGACGGGGG
Long non-coding RNA from Oncorhynchus tshawytscha (Chinook salmon), 2161 nucleotides. NCBI's taxonomy places the organism in Eukaryota, Metazoa, Chordata, Actinopteri, Salmoniformes, Salmonidae. The record is from Ensembl.